UGUUAACUAAGGAUUUCAUGGGAUCAAGCCCCGUCGAUCUAG
Molecule: transfer RNA, 42 nt
Filed under: Bavayia kunyie
Lineage: Eukaryota; Metazoa; Chordata; Lepidosauria; Squamata; Diplodactylidae
Description: partial tRNA-Asn
Source: RNAcentral